UACAGGGGGGGCAAGCGUUGUUCGGAAUUACUGGGCGUAAAGGGUUCGUAGGUGGCUUACUAAGUCAGACGUGAAAUCCCUCGGCUUAACCGGGGAACUGCAUCUGAUACUGGAUGGCUUGAGUUUGGGAGAGGGAUGCGGAAUUCCAGGUGUAGCGGUGAAAUGCGUAGAUAUCUGGAGGAACACCGGUGGCGAAGGCGGCAUCCUGGACCAACACUGACACUGAUGAGCGAAAGCCAGGGGAGCAAACGGG
This 253-nucleotide ribosomal RNA is filed under the name uncultured bacterium. RNAcentral describes it as "partial 16S ribosomal RNA". It matches the Rfam family "Bacterial small subunit ribosomal RNA", at positions 524 to 776 of the family's 1533-position model. The record is from RNAcentral.